RNAcentral lists this long non-coding RNA (917 nucleotides) under Setaria italica (foxtail millet). RNAcentral describes it as "long non-coding RNA (SITA_LNC001936)". Lineage: Eukaryota; Viridiplantae; Streptophyta; Magnoliopsida; Poales; Poaceae. The record is from RNAcentral.
ACAAUCUGCCAUAUUUGAGAGAAAAUGAGUGUGAAAACCGCUGCAAUAGUAAAUAUAAUUUGUAUGCCUGGAUGGACAGACACACUCCAUCUCACCAAGGCAAAUAUCACAAGAAAGCUCAUAAUAAUGAAACCGCCAACAACAUAGCCCUUCAAAUGUAAAACCACAAGUAAUUUUUGUAGGUGCGUAAGAAUCAGUGAAGGAUAUAAAAAGAAAAAGGAAAGGCAAUCAACAUACCUUCCUUGUUUCACGUCUUAAUACAUGUAUUGCCAUCAGUGCGUGGAAAUGUGAAUUAAUAAUCAGACCAUGGCAUAAUCGGAAUCAACGGUAAUGCUCCUCUCAACAAUCAAGCUAUAUGCAAUCCACAUCAAGGAGUUACAAAUGCCCAGGUACAUUGUUGGGAUACUAAAGUAGUUCAGGACGCUAUCAACGCUGCCAGUAUAGACUAGGUACAGGCAACAGUCCUUAUAGAACCGAAGAUGUGGACGAAAGAUAGAUCACAACAUUCCUGCUAACCUAGUAGAUGAUGAGACUUGCCAAUUAAGCAGGAAAGUCAAUAGCUGGGCUCAUGUGUGUGAGGCCUGAACAUGUGUGUGAAGCCUAUACAUGUGUGUAUAAAAUAAUGAUGUUACUGUGAUGCUAAAUGUGUGCGUAAUUGCUCAAUACAUUGUUACUGUGAUGCUGAAAUACUCUUCAUCAUCUAGAUAUCAAAUUAUCUCACAUUAACACUUAACCAUUCCACAUUACCACUUCAUCAUCCCACAUAAACACUACAACGUCCCAUAUAAGCUAUACAUCAUCCCACAGAAGCUAUACAUCAUCCCACAGAAGCUACAAGAUCAGACAAAAGCAUUUCCUCACCCAACAGAAGCAUUAUACCAUCCCACAAAAGCACUACAUCAUCCUAGAAAAGCACC